RNAcentral lists this long non-coding RNA (292 nucleotides) under Pogona vitticeps (central bearded dragon). RNAcentral describes it as "lncRNA (ENSPVIG00000017426.1)". The record is from RNAcentral. Lineage: Eukaryota; Metazoa; Chordata; Lepidosauria; Squamata; Agamidae.
AUUUUUUGUAUUUUGAAUAUUGGUUACUGACCAUAAAAUCUAUCUUAUCUUAUCAGGGUCCAUAAAAAGGAGAUUCAGCCUUCCUCUAAUUAUUCCCAUUUCUCAUUAUGCUCCACCGUAAACUUCUAAAGACAGCUUUUCUUCCCAAGUCAGCCAUUUAUAAUUCCUCCCUGACAAUUCCUAUUUUGGAUUACAUAAAUCUACUCCUUUGCAUUUCAAUACGCAAUGAAUAUACUUUCUCACAUUACAAAUCAUAAACCUUAACUCCCAUUAAAAGAAAAGACCUUCGGUA